GGUCUCCUCAUUGGCAACACAACCCACUUGCUUAGCCAUCUUUUUCAAAUACCCAACAGCGGCUGCUGAAUUCCCUGCAUCACACAAGCCUUUCAGUAAGAUAUUAUACAAUCUUACAUUUGGAACACAAUUUUCCUUCAUCAUCUCCACCUCAAUUACUUUAACUGCUUCAUGAACUCUACCUUCUCUACACAAUGCUGAUACCUUUGCUUCAUAAGUUAAAAGUGACGGCCUAAAGCCUCUAUCCUGUGUUUCAUCAAGCACUUUAUCAGCUAGACUAAUCCUACCUUCACCGUAAAGUUCAACAGCCAUGGCAGUAUAGCUACCCAGACUAGGAAUCAC
This 342-nucleotide unclassified non-coding RNA is filed under the name Hevea brasiliensis (rubber tree). Lineage: Eukaryota; Viridiplantae; Streptophyta; Magnoliopsida; Malpighiales; Euphorbiaceae. The record is from RNAcentral.